GGGGCCGUGGUCGGCUUCGGCUGUCGAGAUAGCGUCCUUGCCUAUUUUUUGGAGUACCCUCCGUUUCCUCAGCAGGUCCGCCUGCUACCGGGGACACACAAAACUCUUUGUAAUCAGCAACCGUCUGAAGAAACUACAAAAAGUCAAAACUUUCAACAAUGGAUCUCUUGGUUCUGGCAUCGAUGAAGAACGCAGCAAAAUGCGAUAAGUAGUGUGAAUUGCAGAAUUCAGUGAAUCAUCGAAUCUUUGAACGCACAUUGCGCCCUUUGGUAUUCCUUAGGGCAUGCCUGUUCGAGCGUCAUUAAGUUCAUCAAGCACGGCUUGUUGUUGGGCGCCUGUCCCGCCUCCGGCGCGGACUCGCCUCAAAACGAUUGGCAGCCCCUCCCGGCGGCACGGAGCGCAGCAGAAUUGCGACUCCUCCCGCGGGGACGGCGGCACCCAGAAGCCUCUCCUUUCAGAUGGACCUCGGAUCAGGUAGGGAUACCCGCUGAACUUAAGCAUAUCAAUAAGCGGAGGAA
Molecule: ribosomal RNA, 518 nt
Filed under: Pleosporales sp. SCSGAF0055
Lineage: Eukaryota; Fungi; Ascomycota; Dothideomycetes; Pleosporales
Description: eukaryotic LSU rRNA
Rfam family: 5.8S ribosomal RNA (bases 148-301)
Source: RNAcentral